This 468-nucleotide ribosomal RNA is filed under the name uncultured bacterium. RNAcentral's name for it is "partial 16S ribosomal RNA". It matches the Rfam family "Bacterial small subunit ribosomal RNA", at positions 28 to 507 of the family's 1533-position model. The record is from RNAcentral.
GACGAACGCUGGCGGCGUGCUUAACACAUGCAAGUCGAACGGAAAUGGCCUGCUGUUGUGGGGUGCUCGAGUGGCGAACGGGUGAGUAACACGUGAGUAACCUUCCCUUGACUUUGGGAUAACUUCAGGAAACUGGGGCUAAUACCGGAUAGGUGCUCCUGCUGCAUGGUGGGGGUUGGAAAGGUUCGGCGGUUGGGGAUGGACUCGCGGCUUAUCAGCUUGUUGGUGGGGUAGUGGCUUACCAAGGCUUUGACGGGUAGCCGGCCUGAGAGGGUGACCGGCCACAUGGGGACUGAGAUACGGCCCAGAGUACUACGGGAGGCAGCAGUGGGGAAUAUUGCACAAUGGGCGGAAGCCGGAUGCAGCAACGCCGCGUGCGGGAUGAUGGCCUUCGGGUUGUAAGCCGCUUUCGCCUGUGACGAAGCGUGAGUGACGGUAAUGGGUAAAGAAGCACCGGCUAACUACGUG